Molecule: ribosomal RNA, 515 nt
Filed under: uncultured bacterium
Lineage: Bacteria
Description: partial 16S ribosomal RNA
Rfam family: Bacterial small subunit ribosomal RNA
Source: RNAcentral
AUUGAACGCUGGAGGCGUGCUUAACGCAUGCAAGUCGUGCGAGAAAGGGACUUCGGUCCUGAGUAGAGCGGCGCACGGGUGAGUAACGCGUGGGUAAUCUCCCUUGGUGAUCGGGAUAACAGCGGGAAACUGCUGCUAAUGCCGGAUAAUCUUCAUGUUUAACUUCAUGGGGUAAAGGUGGCCUCUGCUUGCAAGCUACCACACCGAGAUGAGCCCGCGUCUCAUUAGCUAGUUGGUAGGGUAAUGGCCUACCAAGGCUACGAUGAGUAGCUGGUCUGAGAGGAUGACCAGCCACACUGGGACUGGAACACGGCCCAGACUCCUACGGGAGGCAGCAGUGGGGAAUAUUGCGCAAUGGGCGAAAGCCUGACGUAGCGACGCCUCGUGAGGGAUGAAGGUCUUCGGAUCGUAAACCUCUGUCAAGAGGGAAGAAACCCUUGGAUUCGAAUAGGGUCCUUGGCUGACGGUACCUCAAAAGGAAGCACCGGCUAACUCCGUGCCAGCAGCCGCGGUAA